This is a non-coding RNA of Ictidomys tridecemlineatus (thirteen-lined ground squirrel), 1575 nucleotides long. NCBI's taxonomy places the organism in Eukaryota, Metazoa, Chordata, Mammalia, Rodentia, Sciuridae. The record is from RefSeq and is a predicted model, not a curated record.
CUUUCCCCAAGUACGUGCUUCAAGACACAGCUAGACCGUGAAUGGGAAAGCUUCCUUGUCCACAUACAUUCAAGAAAUAAUGGAUCCAACCAAGUUCACUGGUUUCUUUCCUGCAGGCCUUCCCAGACCCUUCAGUAAGCUGAGGAGCUGGGACUCUCCAAGAGAGCAGUACCGUGUGCCACCUCCCCACCCUGCUCGGACCACAGAACACUAUUCCAGAACAUGUGGUAGGGCUGGCCUGCCACAGCACACAUGCGCAGACAUGCUGGGUUCCUGGAAAGAAGUCAGGAGCCCCGGUUCCACUCCCAGAACUCCACUGACGCCCUGUGUGACCUCAAGUCGGCCCAGUCACCUCCCCGGGGCUUCGUUCCCUCAUCGAGAAACUGUGUCUGUGCUGUCAAGGUGGGACAGGAGCAAGGAAGUGUGUUAUUUUCCUGUUGCUGGAUAACGCAUCACCCCAAACUUAGUAACUAAAGCAGCACAAGUCUAUCACCUUACAGUGGCAGAGGUCAGAAGUGUAGAAUGGUCUCACUGGACAAAAAUCAAGGAACAGCAGCUCUGAGGACAGUGACAACCGGGAAGCACCACAGGUAUCUCUGUCACCACUGAGAAAGCCUCCUGUAUGGAAGCCAGUGCAGAGGUGAACAAGGGCACAAACAGGAAGAGACAGACCCAGGACCUCCUGCCUGCCCACAGCCCAGGUCACCCUGGGUCCAGAAUUCCCUCUGCUCUUCUGUUUCUCCUGAAACUAAUUUCACCUGCAGCCAAAUGCCUACAUUAACAUAUUCAAGAAAGACCUGCCAGGGCAUGGCACAGCUUCCAAGAGCCCUGAAGUGUCUCCUAAACCCAAGAUCUAAAAUGCUCUGAUUCUAAAUCCAGGUAAGGCUCAAGGAGAAUCCACUAUCUCCCCUUUGCCAUGAGCCCCUCCAGUGUGUGUGUGUGUGUGUGUGUGUGUGUGUGUGUGUGUGUGUGUGUGUUGAGACAGGUUUCACUAUGUUGUCCAGGCUGACUUUGAACUUGUGAUCCUCCUGGAGUAGCUGGGACUAUAGGUGUGUGCCACCACGCCCAACUCCCUUCCAGAUUUUAUAUGCCCUCAUAGAUACCAGAACAUCCUUGGGCUCUUUUGGCCCAGGCAUCCACGGUUUCUCCAAGUCUGUUUAUUCUGCAUGGGAAAUGCCUCAUGUAACCAGAGGACCCCCAGCCUCUUCCCCAGGCACUCAACUCUUCCUUUCCAAGUUCAUCUGCUUGGGGGGCUAACAAACACUCCUGAGAUAACUGCAGGCCUCCAUGGUUGUUGUAGGACAUCCAUAUGGAAAUUUGUGGCUGCAGAAGGAAAGGAUCCAGAAAAAAAGGAACAGCUCGCUCUCUCUAAGCCCAGCUGAAGAGAGUGAAGGUGUUUCCUCCUCAACCCCUUCUGUUACACAGGUUUUCCUGGUCCACUCCACUCCUGGGGUGCAGCUCUUGACUAUUCCAAGGGAAAGACACGUCUUGAUAUGUAUCCUGGGGCAGGAAUACCACCUUCAGAGAAUUCAGCAAUUUAGAAAGAAAUUUAAGGCCAGGCAGGUGAGGAUGAGA